Molecule: non-coding RNA, 72 nt
Organism: Clonostachys rhizophaga
Lineage: Eukaryota; Fungi; Ascomycota; Sordariomycetes; Hypocreales; Bionectriaceae
Source: the annotation of a GenBank genome assembly
GGAGCCUUGGCGCAGCGGUAGCGCGUGUGAUUCCAGUCCACAAGGUCAUCGGUUCAAAUCCGAUAGGCUUCA